AGUGAACGCUGGCGGUAGGCCUAACACAUGCAAGUCGAACGGCAGCACAGUAAGAGCUUGCUCUUACGGGUGGCGAGUGGCGGACGGGUGAGGAAUACAUCGGAAUCUACUUUUUCGUGGGGGAUAACGUAGGGAAACUUACGCUAAUACCGCAUACGACCUACGGGUGAAAGCAGGGGAUCUUCGGACCUUGCGCGAUUGAAUGAGCCGAUGUCGGAUUAGCUAGUUGGCGGGGUAAAGGCCCACCAAGGCGACGAUCCGUAGCUGGUCUGAGAGGAUGAUCAGCCACACUGGAACUGAAACACGGUCCAGACUCCUACGGGAGGCAGCAGUGGGGAAUAUUGGACAAUGGGCGCAAGCCUGAUCCAGCCAUACCGCGUGGGUGAAGAAGGCCUUCGGGUUGUAAAGCCCUUUUGUUGGGAAAGAAAAGCAGCAGGUUAAUACCCCGCUGUUCUGACGGUACCCAAAGAAUAAGCACCGGCUGACUUCGUG
This 492-nucleotide ribosomal RNA is filed under the name uncultured bacterium. Its description in RNAcentral is "partial 16S ribosomal RNA". It matches the Rfam family "Bacterial small subunit ribosomal RNA", at positions 29 to 507 of the family's 1533-position model. The record is from RNAcentral.